RNAcentral lists this ribosomal RNA (498 nucleotides) under uncultured bacterium. RNAcentral's name for it is "partial 16S ribosomal RNA". It matches the Rfam family "Bacterial small subunit ribosomal RNA", at positions 28 to 507 of the family's 1533-position model. The record is from RNAcentral.
GACGAACGCUGGCGGCGUGCCUAAUACAUGCAAGUCGAGCGGACGGAUGGGACCUUGCUCCCAGACCGUCAGCGGCGGACGGGUGAGUAACCCGUGGGCAACCUGCCUGUAAGACUGGGAUAACUCCGGGAAACCGGGGCUAAUACCGGAUAACUCUUUCCCUCACAGGAGGGGAAGCUGAAAGAUGGCAUCUCGCUAUCGCUCACAGAUCGGCUCGCGGGGCAUUAGCUGGUUGGUGGGGUAACGGCUCACCAAGGCGGCGAUGCGUAGCCGAACUGAGAGGGGGAUCGGCCACACGGGGACUGGGCCACGGCCAAGACUCCUGCGGGAGGCAGCAGUAGCGAAUCUGCCGCAACGGACGGGAGUCUGGCGCAGCAACGCCGCGUGAGUGGUGACGGUUUUCGGAUCGUAAAGCUCUGUUGUCGGGGAAGAACAAGUUCCGGAGUAGCUGACGGUACCGUGACGGUACCUGGUAAGAAAGCCACGGCUAACUACGUG